CACACCUGGCUCAGGGGUCAUUUCUAUAGUUUAUUACUAGAGAUUUUUCUCUGACUGUAUAGAGUACCAGAAUCCACCAGGAGGAGGUAUGCAUUCUCUCCUGAUCAUAAAGCCGGUUCUUGGUUUUGUGUUGCUGCAGCUGCCACUUGCCCUUGAUAAUGCUUCCUGCUCUCCUUGGGGUAGCUGGAGGGAGAGGAUACAGUCUUAGUGGG
Jaculus jaculus (lesser Egyptian jerboa) is the source of this 212-nucleotide small nucleolar RNA. Its record names the gene U3. It matches the Rfam family "Small nucleolar RNA U3". From Rfam's summary of the family: Small nucleolar RNAs (snoRNAs) are involved in the processing and modification of rRNA in the nucleolus. There are two main classes of snoRNAs: the box C/D class, and the box H/ACA class. U3 snoRNA is a member of the box C/D class. The record is from Ensembl. NCBI's taxonomy places the organism in Eukaryota, Metazoa, Chordata, Mammalia, Rodentia, Dipodidae.